RNAcentral lists this non-coding RNA (24 nucleotides) under Arabidopsis thaliana (thale cress). The record is from RNAcentral. Lineage: Eukaryota; Viridiplantae; Streptophyta; Magnoliopsida; Brassicales; Brassicaceae.
UAUUUUCAGAAAUCUGCCAUUGAU